CCAAUAGCGUAUAUUAAAGUUGUUGCAGUUAAAAAGCUCGUAGUUGAAUUUCGGGAUCAAUAUAUCGGUCGUGCCAUUGGUACGUACUGGUAUCAUUGGUUUCUCCUUUCUGACGAACCAUGAUGUCAUUAAUUUGGUGUUAUGGGAAGUUAGGACUGUUACUUUGAAAAAAUUAGAGUGUUUAAAGCAGGCUUUAGCUUGAAUACAUUAGCAUGGAAUAAUGAAAUAGGACGUUCGAACCUAUUUUGUUGGUUUCUAGGAUCAACGUAAUGAUUAAUAGGGAUAGUUGGGGGCAUUAGUAUUCAAUUGUCAGAUGUGAAAUUCUUGGAUUUAUUGAAGACUAACUACUGCGAAAGCAUUUGCCAAGGAUGUUUUCAUUAAUCAAGAACGAAAGUUAGGGGAUCGAAGACGAUCAGAUACCGUCGUAGUCUUAACCAUAAACUAUGCCGACUAGGGAUCGGAUGAUGUUAAUUUUUUAAUGACUCAUUCGGCGCCUUACG
RNAcentral lists this unclassified non-coding RNA (500 nucleotides) under uncultured Glomus. RNAcentral's name for it is "SSU rRNA". It matches the Rfam family "Eukaryotic small subunit ribosomal RNA", at positions 591 to 1092 of the family's 1831-position model. The record is from RNAcentral. Lineage: Eukaryota; Fungi; Glomeromycota; Glomeromycetes; Glomerales; Glomeraceae.